GCAUAUAUGUUUUCUACUCGAGUGGUUGGCCUAAUUUUAUUAUUUUUAUUUAUUUAAUUUUUUUUAGGAAAAGAGUAUAAUUCCAAUUCUACUUGGUAAUUUGCCAAUCUCCCUCUCUACUGUCCAAGCAUAUUGCUUUCUCAGUUUCCUCCUUGGUUUUUCUCUUUUCAGCUUUUACAGGGUUAUUUCGAUAAUUCAUUUUCUGCUAUAUUCGAUCACACUUCAACAACAGUACUUGUCACCUGUUUGCCUCUGCAAAUUCUUGGUCUUUCAAGAAUUCAUUUUUCAAGAUAUGGGAAAUGAGGAAGAAGCCAUGACCAAUGACUCCAUGGAAGCAGAUUCCAGCCACCCAGUUGAUCCUCCAUUUCAAAGGGUUGCGGGUUCACCAGAAAUAACUGAGGAAAUGACAGAGGGUUCUCUACAGAGCCCGCAAGACCUUGUGUUAGAGAUACCAUCAAGAACUCUGGAGGAUAUAAGAGAAGAUUUUGUGUCAAUUCAAAUGCCUGCAACACCGAGUCUUACUCCCAAAAGGGUAAAUUUUUCUCCCAUCCCCAGCCCCAGCUUUAUCAAAAUGAAUGAUUCCCCAGACCCCUUUACAUCAAAAAGUAAAUCAACCAUAAGAAGUCUCCUUCCAAAGUUAAGUUUCAAAUAUCGGAGCACUACGUCGGAUAUUGAGAAUGCUGCUAUAUUAGCACUAGGAGGUUCUUCUGCGGCAAUAGAGAAGAAGCCUUUCCUUUCUAGGACACUGUCUUUCACAAGGUUUUUUACUCCCAGGACGAAGAGAACAUCAUCCUUACCUGUUACCCCUAUUUCUCACUCUAAUCCAGAGUCUACGCAUGGAGGGCAUGCAUACAAUCCAUCAAGUUCUGCUGUGAGUAUUAACCUUGCUUAAAUGUUAGAACAUCAUGAUCUGUUUAAGAACAGAGUUGUCAUAUUAGUAGUCCAGUGAUAAGCAUCAUUACAGUGAAAAUAUUUGACUACAUCGCUUCACUUAUUGUGUGAAUGCCAUAUUCUAUUUGAUUAUUUACAACAAUCACAAUAUUGCACUUGAGCCAAAACAUUAAAAUUCACUUUCUGAUCACAAUGCUUCAUAUUGUUUUUACUGAUUAAUUAAUGUUUAAGUCUUGCCACAUUGGAAACUCCACUUGCUAACUUAAACUGUGUUCCAGAACUACCAGGAAGUUGCAUGAUUUUGUCCUUUUAAAAUCAUCAUACCCCGCAGGGAUGGGAUCAUGGGAAUGCACCACUCAUUGAAGGGUUCUCUGGUCUUUUCUAUUUUAAAUGCAACAUAUCUGCUGUUUUUUAGCAACCUCAAAGGAUCAGAAAGGUGUAUGAAAAUAUGAUCAAUUCCACCUUCCAUUUAAUUUUCCCAGUAGCUAGUUUGACUUGGCUUCUAAAUCCUAACAGUCCGGCUUUACACCAUACAAUACACAUUCUUCAUUGGCAGAGAACUAAACACCUGGAUCCCUAUUUUCCCUUAUCAAAUAUGGUUUGAUCAUGUCUUGAACUUAUGUAAAUAAAUAUCUAAUUAUGGCAUUUCCAAUGAUUCAACACUUUGUUAUUGUUAAGCAUCCUUUUCAUCUGAUGCAUUCCCUUGAUCUUUCAUCUAAUGAUGCUGCAUCCUUAUAUCUGAGUAAGUAAUACAACAUUAUUUAAUCACUAUUUAAACCAUAGACACAUUUAUGUUUGCCACUUGUUUGGUUUUUAUUUAUUUGUUUCUGUUUAUUUUUUAAAGUUGCAUUUUACAUACUUGCAAUUUGUUAUUCAAUUUUCCACUAGAUUCUCAAAGAUGUCCCAUGUUCCCACCUUACAGAAAGGAUUUGCCCAAAAACCAAUUCAUCGUUCACAUUCUGUCCCAGAAAUUAACAAAGAGGAAAGCAUAAGGCAGAUGGAUUCUUCAGGUGGCAUAUUUCGUGUGAUUCCAACAACUCCACGAGCUGCUGAGGUGACUGUCACAACAGCAUCAAAUAUGUCUCCUAGGGAUGAUAAUGGUAAAUUUAUUCCCAUAAUUGCCUCAACUUUAUUCUCAGAUGCACUACCCUUUCAGAAAAUGAAAAGGCUAUAGACAGAGAGAAGGCCAAGUUGGAUUUUGUUGUGAAUAACAGCCUCUUGUAUUAUGUAACCCAAUAAAACUUGAUACACUUGAGAUACAUAGAUAUUUUAGCUGGAUGUUUUUGGGAGUAAACUACAAAGUCAGAACAAAUUUAGCAUCGUCCGAGGAAAUUUAAUUUGUGGAACUACUUUAGCUCGUUAAUAAUUACUCUGUACAACUGGAAAUAUAAUAAUAACAAUAAUAAUGUUUUAGAUAUUACUAAUAGCUUGCAUUUUGAGCUGUCACCUACUGUUCUUACUGUUUUCACGUAACUUGCGAUAACCAACCUUUGCCUUAUCUUAGCCUUGUGGUUCAGAUGAAAAUGAUGAUAGUGGUGAAAAUAUUCCAGAAGAAGAAGCUGUUUGUAGAAUCUGCUUGAUUGAACUGGGGGAAGGUGCUGACACUCUCAAGAUGGAAUGCAGCUGCAAAGGUGAACUCGCGCUAGCCCACAAAGAAUGUGCUGUGAAAUGGUUUAGUAUAAAAGGUAACAAAACAUGUGAUGUGUGCAAGCAAGAUGUAAAGAACCUACCAGUUACUCUUUUACGAGUGCAAAAUCCUCGAGGAAAUGGAGCUCGGCCUAUUGAGGUUGCUCAAUACAGGCAAGUAAAUUAUUCUUCAUCUGCCACGCAUUGGAACUUGAUGCCCUUGGCUUUUCUCCAUUUCUUUCCGCAAGCUUUCUACUAAAUAUAAACAACAUUCGCUUUACUGAAGCAGUUAACUAGAUGUAUAAUAAAGUCCUGCUUGUAAGUCUCAUGAUUGAAAACUUUCUGUUUAUGGUAGUUAAGCAAUGAUUGACUUAUUAAGUCCAUUGGUGAUUGAGAAUGGGUCAAAAACUUGAAUUGAUCUUUUUGUUGGUUGUCUGCAUCUCUUUGCCAAUCAAGAAUAUUAAAAAUCUUUCACAAUUUAAUUAAAACAUUAAUUAGGCCGUGGAUAUGCUUGGAUUCCGUAAGGUCAUCUAGGGAGAUGGUUUAACCUAAUGCAAACUUUUCAGGGUGUGGCAGGAUGUUCCAAUUCUUGUCAUUGUCAGCAUGCUUGGUUACUUCUGUUUUCUUGAGCAGCUUUUGGUAAGUAGGGAAACUUGUAAACCCAGCUCUUCUUGCAUACCAUAGUUCCUAAUUUUUCAUGUCGACAGGUAGGGAAACUUGGGUCUGGUGCAAUUGCCAUUUCUCUUCCUUUUUCCUGUAUAAUGGGUCUUCUUGCAUCCAUGACAUCUACAACAAUGGGUAGGGCUAAGCUUGCAUCUGUGUGUAGAUAAAUGUUCUUUUUCAGUGGCUUUGAUGAUCUCAUUGUGUAUUUCUUUGCAAUUUGUGCUCAGUAAGGAGAAGGUAUGUCUGGGUUUACGCCACAACUCAAUUUGCAUUGGUGGUCCUAUCUGCUCAUCUUUACUACUCAUCGCUUCAUAUGCAAGGUGUUCUAUCAGUUCUCCUAGCCACGUUCACUGGGUUCGGCAUUACAAUGUGUGGAAGCUCUGUGAUAGGUGAGAUUUGCAGAUGGAGAACAAGGCGUGCUCAAGCAAAUCAACAGCAUGGUUCUCAGGGUGAGACACAGCCACAUCAGCCUCCUACAGCUGCUCAUCAAACUGUGACAAAUCCUAACCCCCAAGACAUUGACAUAGGAGAUUCAGAAACUACACGCGGCGGCUAAUUUGGUGUGCAUUAUGAUGCAUUGCUGCCAUAGCCAAUGGCAAACAAAUGAAGGGUUUCAGC
RNAcentral lists this unclassified non-coding RNA (3798 nucleotides) under Hevea brasiliensis (rubber tree). Lineage: Eukaryota; Viridiplantae; Streptophyta; Magnoliopsida; Malpighiales; Euphorbiaceae. The record is from RNAcentral.